GAUGAACGCUGGCGGCGUGCCUAAUACAUGCAAGUCGAGCGAACAGACGAGGAUCUUGCUCCUCUGACGUUAGCGGCGGACGGGUGAGUCACACGUGGAUAACCUACCUAUAAGACUGGUAUAACUUCGGGAAACCGGAGCUACUACCGGAUAAUAUAUUGAACCGCAUGGUUCAAUAGUGAAAGACGGUUUUGCUGUCACUUAUCGAUGGAUCCGCGCCGCAUUAGCUAGUUGGUAAGGUAACGGCUUACCAAGGCAACGAUGCGUAGCCGACCUGAGAGGGGGAUCGGCCACACUGGAACUGAGACACGGUCCAGACUCCUACGGGAGGCAGCAGUAGGGAAUCUUCCGCAAUGGGCGAAAGCUUGACGGAGCAACGCCGCGUGAGUGAUGAAGGUCUUCGGAUCGUAAAACUCUGUUAUUAGGGAAGAACAAAUGUGUAAGUAACUAUGCACGUCUUGACGGUACCUAAUCAGAAAGCCACGGCUAACUACGUG
RNAcentral lists this ribosomal RNA (497 nucleotides) under uncultured bacterium. RNAcentral's name for it is "partial 16S ribosomal RNA". It matches the Rfam family "Bacterial small subunit ribosomal RNA", at positions 28 to 507 of the family's 1533-position model. The record is from RNAcentral.